GGGCCCGCACAAGCGGUGGAGCAUGUGGUUUAAUUCGACGCAACGCGAAGAACCUUACCAGGGCUUGACAUCGCCUGACAGCCUGCGAAAGUAGGUUUUACCCUUCGGGGUACAGGUAGACAGGUGGUGCAUGGUUGUCGUCAGCUCGUGUCGUGAGAUGUUGGGUUAAGUCCCGCAACGAGCGCAACCCCUACGUUUAGUUGCUAACGGGUAAAGCUGAGCACUCUAGACGAACUGCCGUUGACAAAACGGAGGAAGGUGGGGAUGACGUCAAAUCAUCAUGCCCCUUAUGUCCUGGGCUACACACGUGCUACAAUGGCCUGUACAAAGGGCAGCGACCCUGUGAAGGGAAGCAAAUCCCGGAAAGCAGGUCACAGUUCGGAUUGCAGGCUGCAACUCGCCUGCAUGAAGUCGGAAUCG
This 420-nucleotide ribosomal RNA is filed under the name Desulfotomaculum sp. Its description in RNAcentral is "bacterial SSU rRNA". It matches the Rfam family "Bacterial small subunit ribosomal RNA", at positions 917 to 1334 of the family's 1533-position model. Lineage: Bacteria; Bacillati; Bacillota; Clostridia; Eubacteriales; Desulfotomaculaceae. The record is from RNAcentral.